AGCAGCCGCGGUAAUUCCAGCUCCAAUAGCGUAUAUUAAAGUUGUUGCAGUUAAAAAGCUCGUAGUUGAACCUCGGGGUCUACCCAUUGGUCAGGCUUAAUUGUCUGCACUGGUGAGACGGAUCUCUACCUUCUGAGGAACUUUCAUGCCAUUUAUUUGGUGUGAUGGGAAAUCAGGACUGUUACUUUGAAAAAUUAGAGUGUUUAAAGCAGACUAUCGUCUGAAUACAUUAGCAUGGAAUAAUGAAAUAGGACGGACUGAUUCUAUUUCGUUGGUUUCUAGGAUCACCGUAA
This 293-nucleotide ribosomal RNA is filed under the name uncultured Glomeromycotina. Its description in RNAcentral is "partial 18S ribosomal RNA". It matches the Rfam family "Eukaryotic small subunit ribosomal RNA", at positions 569 to 865 of the family's 1831-position model. Lineage: Eukaryota; Fungi; Glomeromycota. The record is from RNAcentral.